AUUGAACGCUGGCGGCAUGCCUUACACAUGCAAGUCGAACGGCAGCACGGGGCAACCUGGUGGCGAGUGGCGAACGGGUGAGUAAUGCAUCGGAACGUACCUUUCAGUGGGGGAUAACGUAGCGAAAGUUACGCUAAUACCGCAUAUUCUGUGAGCAGGAAAGCAGGGGAUCGCAAAACCUUGCGCUGAUUGAGCGGCCGAUGUAAGAUUAGCUAGUUGGUGAGGUAAGGGCUCACCAAGGCGACGAUCUGUAGCGGGUCUGAGAGGAUGAUCCGCCACACUGGAACUGAGACACGGUCCAGACUCCUACGGGAGGCAGCAGUGGGGAAUUUUGGACAAUGGGGGCAACCCUGAUCCAGCCAUGCCGCGUGAGUGAAGAAGGCCUUCGGGUUGUAAAGCUCUUUCGGCCGGGAAGAAAUCGCACGGGCUAAUACCCUGUGUGGAUGACGGUACCGGAAUAAGAAGCACCGGCUAACUACGUGCCAGCCGCCGCGGUAA
RNAcentral lists this ribosomal RNA (498 nucleotides) under uncultured bacterium. RNAcentral's name for it is "partial 16S ribosomal RNA". It matches the Rfam family "Bacterial small subunit ribosomal RNA", at positions 30 to 523 of the family's 1533-position model. The record is from RNAcentral.